RNAcentral lists this ribosomal RNA (446 nucleotides) under uncultured bacterium. RNAcentral describes it as "partial 16S ribosomal RNA". It matches the Rfam family "Bacterial small subunit ribosomal RNA", at positions 338 to 795 of the family's 1533-position model. The record is from RNAcentral.
CCUACGGGAGGCAGCAGUCGAGAAUCAUUCACAAUGGGGGAAACCCUGAUGGGGCGACGCCGCGUGGGGGAAUGAAGGUCUUCGGAUUGUAAACCCCUGUCAUGUGGGAGCAAAUUAAAAAGAUAGUACCACAAGAGGAAGAGACGGCUAACUCUGUGCCAGCAGCCGCGGUAAUACAGAGGUCUCAAGCGUUGUUCGGAACCACUGGGCGUAAAGCGUGCGUAGGCUGUUUCGUAAGUCGUGUGUGAAAGGCGCGGGCUCAACCCGCGGACGGCACAUGAUACUGCGAGACUAGAGUAAUGGAGGGGGAACCGGAAUUCUCGGUGUAGCGGUGAAAUGCGUAGAUAUCGAGAGGAACACUCGUGGCGAAGGCGGGUUCCUGGACAUUAACUGACGCUGAGGCACGAAGGCCAGGGGAGCGAAAAGGAUUAGAUACCCGUGUAGUC